AUGUCAUCAAGCAGAAACACAAGGGUUAACAAACAGCAUUAGUGAGACACCCUGCAAGAAGUGAAACAUUAGCCCAAUAGACAGCAGCAAGACCCAGUGGGAUCACACCGGCAGCUCUACAGCACUGUUGUGAGUUUUCCUGGCUGUAUGGUUGCCCUCCAUAGCCUGUAAGCCACCAUGACGAGACAUUAUGGUUCAUCUGUCCUGGGAAGGUGACCUUUUGAGAACUACUGGUCUACAAACCGCAAACCACAAGGUCGGGAGGAGAAUUGGGAAAGGAAACCAUAAGGAAAUGGGAGCAGGAAAUCAUAACAGUUACAGAACACGUCGCAUUCAGGAGAGUAUAUUUCCCUUUGUGGUCCAAAGGCUUAUGGCAGAUAGGCACCAAGCAAAGGGCUGCAAGGAAGAAAGAAGAAAGGUAGAAAGGAAGAUGGUGGCCCCCAGGGGUCCCAUCCAGUGUGGGGUUGUGAGUAUAAACAGGAAACCAAAGAAGCUCUCCUAUCAACAAAACAUUGAAAACAGCCAUCAAUUUGAAAUGGCUCAUCAUUCUAUGCACUGCACUAUCCAGCUGCCUGAUUGAUUGUGAGAAGUCUGGAACCUGGGGGACUUCCCAGAACCCCACUCCAAUGCCUGUGAAAUAGAUGUCAAGUCCUAAAAUAAAUCAAACUCAUAAGUAAGGAAUAAAGCA
Molecule: long non-coding RNA, 688 nt
Filed under: Phascolarctos cinereus (koala)
Lineage: Eukaryota; Metazoa; Chordata; Mammalia; Diprotodontia; Phascolarctidae
Description: lncRNA (ENSPCIG00000023549.2)
Source: RNAcentral